This 253-nucleotide ribosomal RNA is filed under the name uncultured bacterium. RNAcentral describes it as "partial 16S ribosomal RNA". It matches the Rfam family "Bacterial small subunit ribosomal RNA", at positions 524 to 776 of the family's 1533-position model. The record is from RNAcentral.
GACGAACCGUCCUAACGUUGUUCGGAAUCACUGGGCUUAAAGGGCGCGUAGGCGGGCCAUCAAGUCCGGGGUGAAAGCCCCCAGCUCAACUGGGGAAGUGCCUUGGAGACUGGUGGUCUAGAGGGAGGUAGGGGCCUGUGGAACUUCGGGUGGAGCGGUGAAAUGCGUUGAUAUCCGAAGGAACGCCGGUGGCGAAAGCGACGGGCUGGAUCUCUUCUGACGCUGAGGCGCGAAAGCCAGGGGAGCAAACGGG